AUGCUCUCCAGGAUCUCUCAACUCGGGGCGCGGCUCGUGCGCGAGACCAGAGCUGCAGGAAACUUGUCAAGCCAUAGCAGCAAUUACUACCGAGGUCUCAGCCGGCAUUCAGCCCCAGCGAAGAGCAUCCUCUUCUCCACCGCAACAACAAGUAGUCAUCAUGAUGAAGGCGGUGACGACAAGGAGAAAAUCUCUGUAACAUUUGUGAACAAGGAUGGCACUGAGAAAACGAUAAGUGUUCCUGUCGGAAUGUCCAUGUUAGAAGCUGCUCAUGAAAAUGACAUAGAACUUGAAGGAGCAUGUGAAGGGUCGCUCGCAUGUUCCACUUGUCAUGUCAUAGUUAUGGAUGUAAAGGACUAUAACAAGCUAGAGGAUCCAACAGAUGAGGAAAAUGAUAUGCUUGACCUUGCAUUUGGGCUGACAGAAACGUCCCGUCUUGGCUGCCAAGUAAUAGCGAAGCCCGAACUUGACGGCGUCCGACUGGCGUUACCUGCCGCUACACGAAACUUCGCGGUAGAUGGGUUCGUGCCAAAGCCACACUGA
This 543-nucleotide ribosomal RNA is filed under the name Triticum aestivum (bread wheat). RNAcentral's name for it is "partial small subunit ribosomal RNA". The record is from RNAcentral. Lineage: Eukaryota; Viridiplantae; Streptophyta; Magnoliopsida; Poales; Poaceae.